AACGACUUCCCCACUGUCUCCAGCAUAGACUCAGCGAAAUUGAAUUCCCCGUGAAGAUGCGGGGUACCCGCGGUCAGACGGAAAGACCCCGUGCACCUUUACUACAGCUUCACACUGGCAUUAGGCCGAACAUGUGCAGGAUAGGUGGUGGGCUUUGAAACCGGAACGCCAGUUUCGGUGGAGCCUCCCUUGAGAUACCACCCUUGCUUUGCUUGAUGUCUAACCGCGGUCCGUUAUCCGGAUCCGGGACCCUGUGUGGUGGGUAGUUUGACUGGGGCGGUCUCCUCCCAAAGCGUAACGGAGGAGCACAAAGGUGGGCUAAGCAUGGUCGGACAUCAUGCGGUUAGUGUAAUGGCACAAGCCCGCUUAACUGCGAGACAGACACGUCGAGCAGGUACGAAAGUAGGUCAUAGUGAUCCGGUGGUUCUGUAUGGAAGGGCCAUCGCUCAACGGAUAAAAGGUACGCCGGGGAUAACAGGCUGAUACUGCCCAAGAGUCCAUAUCGACGGCA
Molecule: ribosomal RNA, 511 nt
Filed under: uncultured Micromonas
Lineage: Eukaryota; Viridiplantae; Chlorophyta; Mamiellophyceae; Mamiellales
Description: partial Bacterial large subunit ribosomal RNA
Rfam family: Bacterial large subunit ribosomal RNA
Source: RNAcentral